AACUAAGUUUAAUGAUCAGUGAAGCUAGAGAAAUAUAGUAACAGACUUUGUUAAAAAAUUAAAAUCUGAGUAUUGUUAUUGAUGAUCAAUUAACACUCAGAUUUUAUUAAAUCGUAUAUUAAAUUUACAAAACUAUUUUUUAGACUUUAUUUUUCCAGUCCAUUUUUUAUAGCCGCCUUUUAACAUAUAGAUAUCUGUAUAUCCAUUCUUUUUCAAAAUACGAGCAGCUCUAUAGCUAGCAAUCCCAUUGGCAUCACAUAAGUAUACCGGUUGGUCUUUUCUUAAUCCUUGGAAUCGUUGCCUGAACAUUGUCAUAGGAAUAUUGCGAGAC
RNAcentral lists this small RNA (331 nucleotides) under Staphylococcus aureus. RNAcentral describes it as "HMPRNC0000_1672". The record is from RNAcentral. Lineage: Bacteria; Bacillati; Bacillota; Bacilli; Caryophanales; Staphylococcaceae.